GUGGGGAAUCUUCCGCAAUGGACGAAAGUCUGACGGAGCAACGCCGCGUGAGUGAAGAAGGUUUUCGGAUCGUAAAGCUCUUUCGUUAGGGACGAACGUGCUCUUUGUGAAUAAUGAGGAGUAAUGACGGUACCUAAAUAAGAAGCCACGGCUAACUACGUGCCAGCAGCCGCGGUAAUACGUAGGUGGCAAGCGUUGUCCGGAAUUAUUUGGCGUAAAGCGCGCGCAGGCGGGAUAUCAAGUCUGUCUUAAAAGUGCGAGGCUCAACCUCGUGAGGGGACAGAAACUGGUAUUCUUGAGUGUCGGAGAGGAAAGUGGAAUUCCAAGUGUAGCGGUGAAAUGCGUAGAGAUUUGGAAGAACACCAGUGGCGAAGGCGACUUUCUGGACGAUGUCUGACGCUGAGGCGCGAAAGCUAGGGGAGCGAACGGGAUUAGAUACCCUGGUAGUCC
Molecule: ribosomal RNA, 450 nt
Filed under: uncultured bacterium
Lineage: Bacteria
Description: partial 16S ribosomal RNA
Rfam family: Bacterial small subunit ribosomal RNA
Source: RNAcentral